AGAGUUUGAUCAUGGCUCAGAGCGAACGCUGGCGGCGUACUUAACACAUGCAAGUCGAACGGGGAUCGUCGGUGUAGCAAUACAUCGGCGGUUCUAGUGGCGUACGGGUGAGUAACACGUGGGUAACCUGUCCUAGAGUUCGGGAUACCCUCUCGAAAGGGAGGCUAAUACCGGAUACGUUCCUCGGGUUGCGAAAUCUGGGGAGGAAAGGUGGCGCAAGCUGCCGCUCUUGGAGGGACUCGCGGCCUAUCAGCUAGUUGGUGAGGUAACGGCUCACCAAGGCGAUGACGGGUAGCUGGUCUGAGAGGACGACCAGCCACACGGGAACUGAGACACGGUCCCGACUCCUACGGGAGGCAGCAGUGGGGAAUUUUCCGCAAUGGGCGAAAGCCUGACGGAGUGACGCCGCGUGGGGGACGAAGGCCUUCGGGUCGUAAACCCCUGUCAGAGGGAAAGAAGGGUGUCGUCGCGAUAACCGCCGGCAUCUGACGGUACCUUCAGAGGAAGCCCCGGCCAACUCUGUGCCAGCAGCCGCGGUAAGACAGAGGGGGCAAGCGUUGCUCGGAAUUACUGGGCGUAAAGGGCGCGUAGGCGGGAUGGCAAGUCAGUCGUGAAAUCUCUCGGCUCAACCGAGAAACGUCGGCUGAUACUGCCGUUCUUGAGGGAUGCAGAGGAGACUGGAAUUCCCGGUGUAGCGGUG
Molecule: ribosomal RNA, 700 nt
Filed under: uncultured bacterium
Lineage: Bacteria
Description: bacterial SSU rRNA
Rfam family: Bacterial small subunit ribosomal RNA
Source: RNAcentral